UACGUAGGGGGCUAGCGUUGUCCGGAAUCAUUGGGCGUAAAGAGCGUGUAGGCGGCCAGGUAGGUCUGCUGUGAAAACUCGAGGCUUAACCUCGAGAUGUCGGCGGAAACCAUCUGGCUAGAGUCCGGAAGAGGAGAGUGGAAUUCCUGGUGUAGCGGUGAAAUGCGCAGAUAUCAGGAAGAACACCCGUGGCUAAGGCGGCUCUCUAGUACGGUACUGACGCUGAGACGCGAAAGCGUGGGGAGCGAACAGG
RNAcentral lists this ribosomal RNA (253 nucleotides) under uncultured bacterium. Its description in RNAcentral is "partial 16S ribosomal RNA". It matches the Rfam family "Bacterial small subunit ribosomal RNA", at positions 524 to 776 of the family's 1533-position model. The record is from RNAcentral.